AAACUCCCUCUCUACACUAUUCGUUAUCCAUCUUCCCACCUCAUCUCAUUUAAAAAAAAAAUCAAAAAAACUUACUAUAUAAGAGAGACUACAGGAAAGAGGGUGUCAAUUUCAUGACAUGAAUUCUCUCUUUCAAGUUCUAAGGAUGUGAAGAAAAGCAAAAGUAACACAAAAACAACUCAUAAAACUUUACUCAAACCAUAAUGCCUCAUAACUUGUUACUACGUCGAAU
This 232-nucleotide long non-coding RNA is filed under the name Lathyrus oleraceus (garden pea). RNAcentral's name for it is "Pisum sativum (pea) long non-coding RNA (PSAT_LNC008271)". Lineage: Eukaryota; Viridiplantae; Streptophyta; Magnoliopsida; Fabales; Fabaceae. The record is from RNAcentral.